This 25-nucleotide non-coding RNA is filed under the name Rattus norvegicus (Norway rat). Lineage: Eukaryota; Metazoa; Chordata; Mammalia; Rodentia; Muridae. The record is from RNAcentral.
ACGGAUGUGCUGUGUGUAGAGAGGG